GAGCCACUCUGGACCCGCUCGCCUGUGCCUGUGCCAGAUUCUGAGAGAGAAGAGCCAGGAGCCCAGGUGGUGGAUAAUUUUGGCUUUUUCAGAAGCCUAACGUAGGAGGAACAUGAUUCACACAGAGCUCAACGUGCGGCAAAUAUUUAAGCCUCCAGAAAAUAUCAGUGCUGCUGACCCCUUGACAUUAGCCUGUUGAGAUCCACGUGAGACUUCUGACCUCCAGAACUGGUGAUUUUACUGUGGUGACAUUUGGCUGAAAUGAGACCAUUGGGAUCCAAACAUACUCCCAAAUGGAAGAAGACUCCCUGGUCUCAUUCCACCUCCAGAAACAGAAGAGUUCUACACACUCUGCAGAAGGCUCCUCCCGAGAGGCUCAUAAUCAGCA
Prionailurus viverrinus (fishing cat) is the source of this 388-nucleotide long non-coding RNA. RefSeq lists it as uncharacterized. The transcript has 5 exons. The record is from RefSeq and is a predicted model, not a curated record. NCBI's taxonomy places the organism in Eukaryota, Metazoa, Chordata, Mammalia, Carnivora, Felidae.